GCCGACGGGUUCUGGUCCAUCAGCGCUGCUCUGACAGCUUAAUGACCGGCUGUCCGCUCAUCACCUCACUCAGGUUCUCAGGAAGGAGGAAGCAGAAAAACAACCGGCACUCUGCUGAUGGAGAACAUUCAGAACCGACCUGGAACCCCGAAGACACAGAGGAAGGUUCUGCUGGUAAAGCUUCCUCUGAGCAGCAGCUGGUAGAAGAACCAAAGAGCCGAAGAGUCACAUUUUCUGUACGUGAUUGAGUUGGCAUGAGGGAAAAGGAAGGUGGUGUCUGUGCAGCUGCAUGCAUGCAUCAGCACUGCAAAAGCAAGACAGAAAGUGACAAAGGAAACUCUGAGAGAGGACAACAGAGGAAUAAAUAAGGAGAAGAAGAGGAUCAUGGGAAAAAUCAGACAAACAGGUGAAGGAAGAACUGAGAGCAGCACAUUCAGCUGGACAGCUUUAUUGGACAGACGGAGUGAGGGAGACGGGAAAUAAAGGAGGAGAGCCAUGCAGCAAACGGCCAAAGUCGGGAAUUGAACCCGGGCCGCUCAGUUGGAGACCAGCCCCUGUAUACAGUUCACCUGCUUAAAUCACUGAGCUAUACAGUCACCAAGCAACCUUGACGUUUUUGUCACAUUUUGGACGACAUUCCAAAGUAUGACAUGUUUUUUAAAAUAUUAUUUUUAUGGCCUUUUUUCAGCUUUAUUGGACAGACGGAGUGAGGGAGACGGGAAAUAAAGGAGGAGAGCCGUGCAGCAAACAGCCGAAGUCGGGAAUUGAACCCGGGCCGCUCAGUUGGAGACCAGCCCCUCUUUAUUGGACAGACGGAGUGAGGGAGACGGGAAAUAAAGGAGGAGAGCCAUGCAGCAAACGGCCAAAGUCGGGAAUUGAACCCGGGCCGCUCAGUUGGAGACCAGCCCCUGUAUACAGUUCACCUGCUUAAAUCACUGAGCUAUACAGUCACCAAGCAACCUUGACGUUUUUGUCACAUUUUGGACGACAUUCCAAAGUAUGACAUGUUUUUUAAAAUAUUAUUUUUAUGGCCUUUUUUCAGCUUUAUUGGACAGACGGAGUGAGGGAGACGGGAAAUAAAGGAGGAGAGCCGUGCAGCAAACAGCCGAAGUCGGGAAUUGAACCCAGGCCGCUCAGUUGGAGACCAGCCCCUGUAUACAGUUCACCUGCUUAAACCACUGAGCUAUACAGUCACCAAGCAACCUUGACGUUUUUGUCACAUUUUGGACGACAUACUAAACUAUGACGUUUUUGUUCAAAUUUUGGACGACAUACUAAACUAUGACGUUUUUGUUCAAAUUUUGGACGACAUACUAAACUAUGAUGUUUUUGUCACAUUUUGCACGACAUACUAAACUAUGAUGUUUUUGUCACAUUUUGGACGACAUACUAAACUAUGACGUUUUUUUCCACAUUUUGGACGACAUUCCAAACUAUGACAUUUUUUAAAAUUUUAUUUUUAUGGUAUUUUUUCAGCUUUGUUGGACAGAUAAAGUGAAAGAGGGAGAAGAGCAGGGGAAAGACAUGCAGCAAACAGCCACAGGUGGGAAUCAGACCUGGGCCGCUGCAUCAGCGACCAGCCCCUGUAUAUGGUUCACCUGCUUAACCCACUGAGCUAUACAGUCACCCCGCAAUCGAGAUGUUUUUGUCACAUUUUGGACGACAUUCCAAAGUAUGACAUUUUUUUAAAAUAUUAUUUUUAUGGCCUUUUCACAGCUUUAUUGGACAGAUGGAGUGAGAGAGACAGGAAAUAAAGGAGAAGAGCAGAGGAAAGACAUGCAGCAAACGGCCACAGGCAGAAAUCAAACCAGGACCACUCAGUCAGAGAACAGUCCCUGUAUGUGGUUCACCUGCUUAAACCACUGAGCUAUACAGUCAUCAAGAAACCAAGCUGUUUUUGUCACAUUUUGGACGACAUACUAAACUAUGACGUUUAUGGUCACAUUUUGGACGACAUCCUAAACUGUGACGUUUUUGGUCACAUUUUGGACAACAUACUAAACUAUGACGUUUAGUAUAGGCUAGGAUAUUGACAUUCACAUGGAACAUUGUAUUCACAUACAUUUAUGUACGAUUUAAAAAUUUAAGUAUUGUAUUGUAUUUUCGUGGAAACAUAAGGCAUAUUUUCAUGAACAAUUUUAUUCCAUUCUUAAUGAAUCAACAGGGAGAGAGGAAAACAGGAAACCCAUGCAGUAAAGGAUCAUGAGCUGGAAUCGACCCUGCUUCUCUGACAGAGCUCUGUUUAUGAAUCACUUUCUUAAGCAGUUGAGCUAUCUGGACACCUUGUUACAACUUGUUGGACGACAUACUAACCGAUGAUGUUUUUGUCAUAUUUUGGACAACAUACUAAACUAUGACGUUUUUACAACAUUUUGGACGACAUACGAAAAUAUGAUGUUUGUUUCACAUUUUGGACGACACACUCGAGUGACUUUUUUUCAUAUUUUGGACGACAUGCUAAACUAUGACGUUUUUGGUCAAAUUUUGGACGACAUACCAAACUAUGACGGUUUUUUUCACAUUUUGGACGACAUACUAAACUAUGACGCUUUUGUGAUUUUUUGGACGACAUACUACGUAAACUAUGACUUUUUUUUCCACAUUUUGGACGACAUACUGAAUGAAGUAUGACGUUUUUGUCAUAUUUUAGACGACAUACUAGACUAUGAUGUUUUUUCCACAUUUUGGACGACAUGCUAAACUAUGACGUUUUUGUCAAAUUUUGGACGACAUACUAAACUGUGAUGUUUUUGGUCAAAUUUUGGACGACAUACUAAACUGUGAUGUUUUUGGUCAAAUUUUGGACGACAUACUAAACUGUGAUGUUUUUGGUCAAAUUUUGGACGACAUACCAAACUAUGACGGUUUUUUUCACAUUUUGGACGACAUACUAAACUAUGACGCUUUUGUGAUUUUUUGGACGACAUACUACGUAAACUAUGACUUUUUUUUCCACAUUUUGGACGACAUACUGAAUGAAGUAUGACGUUUUUGUCAUAUUUUAGACGACAUACUAGACUAUGAUGUUUUUUCCACAUUUUGGAGGACAUACUAAACUAUGACGCUUUUGUGAUUUUUUGGACGACAUACUAAACUAUGACAUUUGUUUCACAUGUUGGACGACAUACUAAACUAUGGCGUUUUUUCACAUCUUGUACGACAUACUAAACUAUGACGUUUUUACCCCAUUUUGGAUGACAUCCUAAAUUAUGACGUUUUCAACCCUGUUCUGGAUCACAAGUUCCUAAUCUUCUCCUCUCUAACAUCACCAUCAGCAACUUAAAGCUCUCCGUCGAUUCCAAUUUAACGAACCUCCAUUGUUCUGUUUCCUACACUCUGGAGUUAUGUCCAGUUUUGUUGUACACAGACUUAACAUUGCAUUUGAAGUUGUAGGAUCCAACACUGCGUUGAAAACAGAAAGGCUAAUCGUGCUGCUCUUGUAAAUUUUCACAAGACCUCCUGUCAGUGGGUACUUAGGCAGGAGGUGCACAGUCUGGACUUGGAGUUGGUUUGCUGAAAGAAGGACAAAGUGCAGUAUGUGUGACUAUCUGAGAGACUUUGACCAGCUGUGAUGGUAGACUAAAGGGUCAGAACAUCUCCAGAACAGCUGGAAUUGGACAAUGUUCCUGGUAUGAGUUGGCCACCAAAAAUUGUCCAAAAAAGGACGACCAGUGACCCAGGGCAGGGUCAUGGACACCCAGGGAUCAUUGCAAAGGUUGAGCCACAGAAGAUCUUUAGAGCAUUCAAAUAGACUAUAAACUGAGAACAGCUGAUGCAGUCUCGUCAGUUUCAAGUCAUGACUGAAACCAAAGAGCUUAGUAAGGACCUCCAGAUUCACAUUUUAGCUGCUCACAAGAAAUUUAAAGCCUAUAAAGUCACAUCAAGUGUUUUCAAGGUCCAGUGUCUACAGUUUGAAGCUUCAUGAAAAAGUCCAUGGAGUUCCACACUGUGACACAUGAAGUCAACGUGGUGAAGAAAUGGUGAAGAGAAAACAAUGAGAAGAUGUUGGAGAGGCCCAGCCAGAGUCCAGACCUGAAUCCAUCCAGAAUCUGUGGAGGAAGUGAAGAGCAGAGUGAUGGAGAGGAAGCCUUCAAAGAGCUGGAGAUGGACACUUUGAGGAACUAAAUCCCAGUGGAGACCUGCAGAAACACUGAUAGACACUUGAACUAAAGGGAAAGAGUAUGAUUAAUAUGGGACAUGUAUAGAAAUGGUUAAAAAAAUGCAUCACUAAUACAAUCUAAUACGUUUUUCUAUCUUUUACUACUUGUUUAUAUCAUUUUCAACUAGAAGAAACCUGGUGAUUGAAUACAACUGACUAUAAAUUAAAAAAUUGGCAUGGAGGAUGAAUACUUUUUAGGCCAAAAGAACUGGCGAUAGACACGAAAAUGAAUUACAUCCCAGUGGAGAUGUGCAGAAACACUGUUAGACACUAGAACUACAGGGAAAGAGUGUGACUAAUAUGGGACGUGGCAUAAAAAUAGUUAAAAAUGCAUCAUUGAUGCAAUCUAACACAAUGUUUUACUGUCUUCUGUCACUACUUUAUAUCAAUUUUAACCAGAAGGAACGUGGCAAUUGAAUAAAAACUGACUGUAUAUUAAAAUUUGGCUGGGGGAUAAAAAAUUUUGGACUUCACAGAUCUGAUGAUGGACACAAAAUUUCUCUAAAUCCUCGCAUAGACCUUCAGAAAACCUGCAGUUUGGUGUAACUACUUUGAGUUUACCUGUACUUUAGCAGUUACAAUCCACCAGUGGGUGAUAUGUGCAGCUUAUUGUGUGAAACAUUGAAAAACAAAACCGAAAGAACCAAACAUACAGUCUCCAGGCUAUGUAUGACGUCACGGUUUUCAAUACUCCUCCAGCUCUCCCCCCUCGUCCUGCUAAUUUAUCUCCACCUCCAGCCGCUACACAACAACUCCAACACAAUGUCUAUGUGUGUUCUGUAUCGGGGGUCUUUGAGCUCAGGAAGAGGCCGGCGUUACACACCAAACACACACACGGGAUGAGAACCUCUGGCGUGGCCUUUCCCACCGCUGCCCUUGCUGAAUCAACACACUCGUACAAACACACUCGUUCACACCGCCAUCAAACGGGCUUUUGUCUUGCUACAAUCGCACACUUAUCUGCACGGGAGCUCAUUACUGCGACCACAACAAACGCCGUCCUGUACGGUCGUGUUCUCCGCUCAACAAUCAGCAAAUAAAAAAAAUCACAUGGGGUGUAAAAAUUUUUUAAAAAAAGGCACAGAAUCAGCGCUGACACUUUCAUUUUACCCUUAAUAUGUUUAAUAAUGAUAAUUCAACCAGCCACCACAGAAUUAGGAAACAUUCAUCCUCGUAAACAAAAUCCUAUGGUGUUAAUUACCUUAUAAAAAUAGUAAACACGAUUUGGUUCACGUCGUAUAUAAAAUUAAAGUUCAGAAAAUAUCACUGCCACUGACAAUUCAAUAUUCUGUUUACAUGAACACAACACAAAUGAGUUAUUAAGCAGAAAAAUAAGAGUAUAUACACAUUCCACAUGUGAUUACCAGGUAACAGGGGGGGAAAAA
Molecule: long non-coding RNA, 5544 nt
Organism: Acanthochromis polyacanthus (spiny chromis)
Lineage: Eukaryota; Metazoa; Chordata; Actinopteri; Pomacentridae
Exons: 4
Source: RefSeq, a predicted model, not a curated record